RNAcentral lists this long non-coding RNA (1701 nucleotides) under Portunus trituberculatus (swimming crab). RNAcentral's name for it is "uncharacterized LOC123520467". Lineage: Eukaryota; Metazoa; Arthropoda; Malacostraca; Decapoda; Portunidae. The record is from RNAcentral.
UAUAUAUAUAUAUUGUUAAGUAAGGGGGUUUAAGUUACCCCCUCCCCGUUUAUAAAAGCCUAGAAUUGGGGUGUGGAGAGGACAUUUUUUUUCCCAUGUAACCUGAGUUAUUUAGUUAAUCAUAUGCAAGUUUUUUUUUAUUGGUUGUAUUUGGAAAUGUAUUACCCAAUGAAUAAACUUCUUGAUGGGUAUUGUAGUUAUGAUUAGUGUACAGUUAUAUUCUAAAGCGCGAGGAAGCGCCAGUUUGCACUGUUACAAGUGGGAAGUAGUAGGAUAUAUUUAAUUCCGCCAUGUAUAUACCAAAUUGUUUUUUGCAAUGAAAAGACGUGAGAUAAAGCUUGGAUUUCUAUGAUGAUGUCUGCCUCUGGGGUACCUUAAGGGAUUAGAUACCACUCAGAAUUUUGAGUUCGGCAAAUGAACCACAGAAAGGAUAACCAAAGAAACCUGGCCUUGUUACCUGAGUUAGAAAGACGAAAGUUGUUUACUCUUCUUGUCCACGCUUUCUACUGGCUUAGGGCGUCGCCAAAGAAAGAGGCUGCAUGCUGCCUGCAUAACUCGUGAGGAUAUAGUAAGGCGAGGGACAUAGUACGCCACCCAGGCGUUUCGACAGGAGUGUUUUCUCGCUGACAGCCUCCAGGAGAACCCUGCUGUCAUGGGUCUCUGUGUGGCUCACACAGAUGAAUGCAAGCAUGGAUUGCUGAACAACACAGUAACAGAGGUACAGAGUGAGGAUGAACUUACAGUGAAGAAGAGAAGGGGAAGAGGAACCAUCAUGAAACGAGAUGGAAGGCAGCAGAAAAUGGCUAAGAUAGUGGCUUGAAAGGAAAGUGAAGAGCCAGUAGAAAUGGAGGAUGAGUCAAGAGAAUGGGAUGAGGAGACAUCACUACUACCAAUAAAAAGAAAUUGGAAAAAAUUGAUAGGAAAAGCCAGUAAGUCUAAGGAAAAAAUUGUGGAGGAGGAACUAUGUAAAGAUCUUGAAAUGCAGGAAGAAGAGGAAGACAAGCCAUUAUCAGAUGAACAGAGAAAUAAGGAAGUCAAAAAGAUGUAUAAAGCCUGUAUUUAAACUAGAUGAAGAAAAGAUAGAAAUAGAUGAUGAGUCAGAGAUAAAAGGGAAAGAGGAGGACACUACUCCACCAGUCAGAAAGAAAAGAAAUGGGACAGGAGCUACUAAAUCUAAGAAGGCGGAGAAAGAAGCAAUGACUAAUAUAUUCAAGGCAAAUAAAGAAAGAGGAGCACCAAAAAUGCAAAAGGUUGCACAAGAAGGAAAUAAAACGGGUAUUAAAAAGAAAAGGAAACCAGAUGUGAAGACAGGAGAAGGAAGUCCAGCUGCUCCUUACAAGAGAGGCAAGAAGAAAGCUGAAACAACUCCAGCAUUGAUGCAAAUACAGGAAGAAGAUGAUGUGGUGUUACCAUCCUUAAAUAAGAGAAAAAGAGAACCUAAAUCAACCUCAAAGGAAAAAGAAGGUAAACAAGAUGAAGAGGAAGAUGUAAAUCCUAUCAUGUCAAAGAAGGGUGGAAGAGAUACAUCAAUAAAAGAAGGAAGUGGAAAAAGCAAAGUGGGAAGAGGAAUGAAAUCAUCUGUGAAAACAGAUGCUAAAGAAGAAAUCUCAUCUCCUCUCAGGAGGAAGAAAAAAAAAAAAAAAUGAAAAGGCAACACAAACCAUAAGCAAAAGAGGAAAGAAGCAUGAUAAGACAUCAAAG